UGGGUAGAGGCUGCAGAGCUGAUCAGUAGGAUGUGCGAGUUUGACCGCGUUGACCGCAUCUGAAAGGAAGUUUUGCCGAAAUCGAUUUUCUGGGGUCUCCGGAAAUUGGAUUGGGAUCAUUCUGAACAAGAAUGAUACUGUCAUUUAGGCGGAAGCGUAAAUGGAGGGCUACAGGG
Molecule: non-coding RNA, 176 nt
Filed under: uncultured Planococcus sp.
Lineage: Bacteria; Bacillati; Bacillota; Bacilli; Caryophanales; Caryophanaceae
Description: Lysine riboswitch
Rfam family: Lysine riboswitch aptamer
About the family: Riboswitches are metabolite binding domains within certain messenger RNAs that serve as precision sensors for their corresponding targets. Allosteric rearrangement of mRNA structure is mediated by ligand binding, and this results in modulation of gene expression.
Source: RNAcentral